RNAcentral lists this small RNA (28 nucleotides) under Bombyx mori (domestic silkworm). RNAcentral describes it as "piRNA piR-bmo-1669246". The record is from RNAcentral. Lineage: Eukaryota; Metazoa; Arthropoda; Insecta; Lepidoptera; Bombycidae.
UGCUGGCUGGCAUGGAAACUGACGGAUC